AGCGAACGCUGGCGGCAGGCCUAACACAUGCAAGUCGAACGGAUCCUUCGGGAUUAGUGGCGGACGGGUGAGUAACACGUGGGAACGUGCCUUUUGGUUCGGAACAACUCAGGGAAACUUGAGCUAAUACCGGAUGUGCCCUUCGGGGGAAAGAUUUAUCGCCAUUAGAGCGGCCCGCGUCUGAUUAGCUUGUUGGUGAGGUAAAGGCUCACCAAGGCUACGAUCAGUAGCUGGUCUGAGAGGAUGAUCAGCCACACUGGGACUGAGACACGGCCCAGACUCCUACGGGAGGCAGCAGGUGGGGAAUCUUGCGCAAUGGGCGAAAGCCUGACGCAGCCAUGCCGCGUGAAUGAUGAAGGUCUUAGGAUU
Molecule: ribosomal RNA, 369 nt
Filed under: uncultured bacterium
Lineage: Bacteria
Description: bacterial SSU rRNA
Rfam family: Bacterial small subunit ribosomal RNA
Source: RNAcentral